This 269-nucleotide ribosomal RNA is filed under the name uncultured prokaryote. RNAcentral describes it as "partial 16S ribosomal RNA". It matches the Rfam family "Bacterial small subunit ribosomal RNA", at positions 524 to 792 of the family's 1533-position model. The record is from RNAcentral.
UACGUAGGUGGCAAGCGUUGUCCGGAUUUAUUGGGCGUAAAGGGAGCGCAGGCGGUGACUUAAGUCUGAUGUGAAAGCCCACGGCUUAACCGUGGAGGGUCGUUGGAAACUGGUAGACUUGAGUGCAGAAGAGGGAAGUGGAAUUCCAUGUGUAGCGGUGAAAUGCGUAGAGAUAUGGAGGAACACCAGUGGCGAAGGCGGCUUCCUGGUCUGUAACUGACACUGAGGCGCGAAAGCGUGGGGAGCAAACAGGAUUAGAUACCCUGGUA